CGGCGGACGGGUGAGUAACACGUGGGUAACCUGCCUGUAAGACUGGGAUAACUCCGGGAAACCGGAGCUAAUACCGGAUAGUUCCUUGAACCGCAUGGUUCAAGGAUGAAAGACGGUUUCGGCUGUCACUUACAGAUGGACCCGCGGCGCAUUAGCUAGUUGGUGAGGUAACGGCUCACCAAGGCGACGAUGCGUAGCCGACCUGAGAGGGUGAUCGGCCACACUGGGACUGAGACACGGCCCAGACUCCUACGGGAGGCAGCAGUAGGGAAUCUUCCGCAAUGGACGAAAGUCUGACGGAGCAACGCCGCGUGAGUGAUGAAGGUUUUCGGAUCGUAAAGCUCUGUUGUUAGGGAAGAACAAGUGCAAGAGUAACUGCUUGCACCUUGACGGUACCUAACCAGAAAGCCACGGCUAACUACGUGCCAGCAGCCGCGGUAAUACGUAGGUGGCAAGCGUUGUCCGGAAUUAUUGGGCGUAAAGGGCUCGCAGGCGGUUUCUUAAGUCUGAUGUGAAAGCCCCCGGGCUCAACCGG
RNAcentral lists this ribosomal RNA (535 nucleotides) under Bacillus pumilus. Its description in RNAcentral is "bacterial SSU rRNA". It matches the Rfam family "Bacterial small subunit ribosomal RNA", at positions 96 to 616 of the family's 1533-position model. Lineage: Bacteria; Bacillati; Bacillota; Bacilli; Caryophanales; Bacillaceae. The record is from RNAcentral.